CAGUCGCCGCGGUAAUGCGUAGGGUGCGAGCGUUAAUCGGAAUUACUGGGCGUAAAGCGUGCGCAGGCGGUUGUGUAAGACAGGUGUGAAAUCCCCGGGCUUAACCUGGGAACUGCGCUUGUGACUGCACAGCUAGAGUAUGGCAGAGGGGGGUGGAAUUCCACGUGUAGCAGUGAAAUGCGUAGAGAUGUGGAGGAACACCGAUGGCGAAGGCAGCCCCCUGGGCCAAUACUGACGCCCAUGCACGAAAGCGUGGGGAGCAAACAGGAUUAGAUACCCCAGUAGUCCCUGUCUCUUAUAC
This 301-nucleotide ribosomal RNA is filed under the name uncultured bacterium. RNAcentral describes it as "partial 16S ribosomal RNA". It matches the Rfam family "Bacterial small subunit ribosomal RNA", at positions 509 to 807 of the family's 1533-position model. The record is from RNAcentral.